GAUGAACGCUGGCGGCGUGCCUAAUACAUGCAAGUCGAGCGAACAGACGAGGAGCUUGCUCCUCUGACGUUAGCGGCGGACGGGUGAGUAACACGUGGAUAACCUACCUAUAAGACUGGGAUAACUUCGGGAAACCGGAGCUAAUACCGGAUAAUAUAUUGAACCGCAUGGUCCAAUAGUGAAAGACGGUUUUGCUGUCACUUAUAGAUGGAUCCGCGCCGCAUUAGCUAGUUGGUAAGGUAACGGCUUACCAAGGCGACGAUGCGUAGCCGACCUGAGAGGGUGAUCGGCCACACUGGAACUGAGACACGGUCCAGACUCCUACGGGAGGCAGCAGUAGGGAAUCUUCCGCAAUGGGCGAAAGCCUGACGGAGCAACGCCGCGUGAGUGAUGAAGGUCUUCGGAUCGUAAAACUCUGUUAUUAGGGAAGAACAAAUGUGUAAGUAACUAUGCACGUCUUGACGGUACCUAAUCAGAAAGCCACGGCUAACUACGU
This 496-nucleotide ribosomal RNA is filed under the name uncultured bacterium. RNAcentral describes it as "partial 16S ribosomal RNA". It matches the Rfam family "Bacterial small subunit ribosomal RNA", at positions 28 to 506 of the family's 1533-position model. The record is from RNAcentral.